UCUUCUUCAAAACCCUAACCCUAAGUAAGCAGCGGCGCCUCUCUCUCCCGAGUCCUCAGUCUUCAAUCGAUUCAUCUCUCCCGACCUUAGAUCUUUUGGCGAGAACAUCGGCGUCGCUCCUUCGUCGAUCUCUCUCACUCUCCUCUGGCAGUUGUUUAGCGUCGCUGCUGCUGCUGAGCUUUGAAAGUUUGGAAAAUUUUGCUUAAAUGGAGGAACCUGCUUCUAAUGAGGCUCAAAUGCAUG
Molecule: long non-coding RNA, 243 nt
Organism: Prunus dulcis (almond)
Lineage: Eukaryota; Viridiplantae; Streptophyta; Magnoliopsida; Rosales; Rosaceae
Exons: 3
Source: RefSeq, a predicted model, not a curated record